AGUGAACGCUGGCGGCGUGCCUAAUACAUGCAAGUCGAACGGAGGGGCUCACGGGUGAGUAAUGUAUAGCUAAUCUGCACUACACCAUAGGACAACAGUUGGAAACGACUGCUAAUACUCUAUAGUGUAGGAUGUGGCUAUAUUGUAUCAGCUGGUUGGUGAGGUAAUGGCUCACCAAGGCUAUGACGCAUAACUGGUCUGAGAGGAUGAUCAGUCUCACGGGAACUGAGCCACGGUACAGACUCCUUCGGGAGGCAGCAGUAGGGACUAUUGCUCAAUGGGGGGAACCCGGAAGCGGCAUCGCCGCGUGGAGGAUGACACUUUUCGGAGCGUACGCUCCUUUUGUUAGGGGAGCGGUACCUAAAGAAUAAGCACCGGCUAACUCCGUGCCAGCAGCCGCGGUAAUAC
RNAcentral lists this ribosomal RNA (408 nucleotides) under uncultured bacterium. Its description in RNAcentral is "partial 16S ribosomal RNA". It matches the Rfam family "Bacterial small subunit ribosomal RNA", at positions 29 to 526 of the family's 1533-position model. The record is from RNAcentral.